RNAcentral lists this ribosomal RNA (703 nucleotides) under uncultured Bacteroidota bacterium. RNAcentral describes it as "bacterial SSU rRNA". It matches the Rfam family "Bacterial small subunit ribosomal RNA", at positions 213 to 916 of the family's 1533-position model. Lineage: Bacteria; Pseudomonadati; Bacteroidota. The record is from RNAcentral.
UAUCGGUGUACGAUGGGGAUGCGUUCCAUUAGGUAGUAGGCGGGGUAACGGCCCACCUAGCCAACGAUGGAUAGGGGUUCUGAGAGGAAGGUCCCCCACAUUGGAACUGAGACACGGUCCAAACUCCUACGGGAGGCAGCAGUGAGGAAUAUUGGUCAAUGGACGAGAGUCUGAACCAGCCAAGUAGCGUGAAGGAUGAAGGUCCUACGGAUUGUAAACUUCUUUUAUAAGGGAAUAAGCCCUCCCACGUGUGGGAGCUUGUAUGUACCUUAUGAAUAAGCAUCGGCUAACUCCGUGCCAGCAGCCGCGGUAAUACGGAGGAUGCGAGCGUUAUCCGGAUUUAUUGGGUUUAAAGGGAGCGCAGACGGGUCGUUAAGUCAGCUGUGAAAGUUUGGGGCUCAACCUUAAAAUUGCAGUUGAUACUGGCGUCCUUGAGUGCGGUUGAGGUGUGCGGAAUUCGUGGUGUAGCGGUGAAAUGCUUAGAUAUCACGAAGAACUCCGAUUGCGAAGGCAGCACACUAAUCCGUAACUGACGUUCAUGCUCGAAAGUGUGGGUAUCAAACAGGAUUAGAUACCCUGGUAGUCCACACGGUAAACGAUGGAUACUCGCUGUUGGCGAUAUACUGUCAGCGGCUUAGCGAAAGCGUUAAGUAUCCCACCUGGGGAGUACGCCGGCAACGGUGCAACUCAAAGGAAUUGACGG